AGCAGUCCGAGGUUUUCGAGUGUGUUGCAGGAGACUUCCCUGAGCAGCAACCUGGUGAAGGCAAGUAUCCUCUGACCCAUUAUGUCCUAUUUACUUUAUAAUUCACUAUCCUACAGUACAUAAUUAAAACCUAAGGAUUGACUAGCUUUGUAUUUACCUUAUCCUUGAUUACCUUUUGGGUUAUUAUGGUUAGCUUCAUGCUAUUGCUUUACUUUAAUCAAUGAACAUGAUGAGAACAUUUAUGAUACGAUGAUGUUUUCUGGAUUAUGAUGAUGAACUUGUGAUACUUUAGGGGACUCAGGCUAUUUCCUAAGUACCUCUCCGUAAGGACCUGUUCAUUGAGAGACCACCCAGGAUAACAGUACAACCAUGAGGGUGGAAUGGGAUGCCCUUAGCUGAUUAAUUGGAUGAACUUGGGGGUGUAGUUGGCUUUGACGUAGGGCUAUCAAUGGGGGUCGGGGCAUAGUGCUUGCUCUGCUAAGGGUGGGUGCCAAGGUUCAUUCGAUUUGGUUUUGUUAGUCACCCACCUUAGGGAGGAGUACUGUGUUUGUACGACUGACGAAACCUAACGAGCAACUGCACACUAGGGGAAUUUUUGUAAAUGCUACGUAGUGAUACCCUGUCAGGCCACCUAGGUAGUGGUCAAUGGGGAGUAGCGCUCUCUGGGCAAAAAGGGAAUCAUGGCUCGUGGGUAAAGUGUGCGACCUCUGCAGAGUGUUAGGAGCUGGUAUAUCAGCCAUGCUCGCGGUUAUGAGCAGCCUUGUGAUCCUCUUUGAUUAGUAUAACUUGGAUACUUUUAUGAUGAUGGUAAAUGGUGAUAAUUAUAACUAUGGUUUCUGGUAUUUCCUUAUGGGGGGAGUACUUUUGAGUAAUAACUGGGUUUAUUAGUAAAACUUGGCUUACUACUAGUAAUAACUGGGUUUAUUACUAAGCCUUUGUGAUCCUCUUUAAGCUUAACUCCACAUACAGCUAGUCCACUUUAGCCAAACAGGACAUUUACUGAGUACGUUGAUGUGUACUCACCCUUGCUUUAAAAACCACCCUACCCCAGGUUGUCCCCAUUGCAAUCAGUGCUCAAGAGAAGAUGAAAGCAACAUGGAGGUCUUUCAGGAGUUUCAGGACUUCGAUGAGUUCUAGUCGUGUUUAGUGGCAAACGCCCAGUCAGCUGCCUGUGAAGGCCUUAUCAUUCUACGUUUCAUAUCCGCACUUUGAUUAUGAUAAUGACUUUAGUUAAUGACUCUGUG
This 1244-nucleotide long non-coding RNA is filed under the name Zea mays. RNAcentral's name for it is "long non-coding RNA (ZMAY_LNC005859)". The record is from RNAcentral. Lineage: Eukaryota; Viridiplantae; Streptophyta; Magnoliopsida; Poales; Poaceae.